Molecule: transfer RNA, 73 nt
Filed under: Felis catus (domestic cat)
Lineage: Eukaryota; Metazoa; Chordata; Mammalia; Carnivora; Felidae
Also listed under: 3 other names
Rfam family: tRNA
About the family: Transfer RNA (tRNA) molecules are approximately 80 nucleotides in length.
Source: Rfam by way of RNAcentral
GCCUGGCUGGCUCAGUUGGUAGAGUGGGUGACUCCCGAUCUCAGGAUCGUGAGUUCAAGUCCUAUGUUGGGUA